ACUCCUACGGGAGGCAGCAGUGGGGAAUAUUGCACAAUGGAGGAAACUCUGAUGCAGCGACGCCGCGUGAGUGAAGAAGUAAUUCGUUAUGUAAAGCUCUAUCAGCAGGGAAGAUAGUGACGGACCU
Molecule: ribosomal RNA, 127 nt
Filed under: uncultured Bacteroidota bacterium
Lineage: Bacteria; Pseudomonadati; Bacteroidota
Description: uncultured Bacteroidetes bacterium partial 16S ribosomal RNA
Rfam family: Bacterial small subunit ribosomal RNA
Source: RNAcentral